Molecule: long non-coding RNA, 1354 nt
Filed under: Anas platyrhynchos platyrhynchos (common mallard)
Lineage: Eukaryota; Metazoa; Chordata; Aves; Anseriformes; Anatidae
Description: lncRNA (ENSAPLG00000022108.1)
Source: RNAcentral
AUGAUUUACUUUAGUUUUGAAAUUGUCUCAAUUUAUUUCCACCUGUCUAUCCAUGCACGCAGUAUUCCAACUGCCCUUUAUUAUCUUCUUUUAACCUUUCUCAACAACCUAGGUACUUCUCUACUAUUAUUCAUCUUACACCUAUCAUUGGCUGUUGCCAAAAGGAGAAUCUCCAUCAAUUUGCCAACUGAAUACCUAUCCAUAAGAAUGCCAGAUGGAUAUGCUUUAGCACACAUGGAACUGCUCAGACAAAAUAUCUUCUCCAAAAGAAAAGCCUUGGAGCUGGUUUGCAACAAUGGAAUUGGAGUACAAUUGCAACUGGAAAACAUAGUCUGUUCCAUAGGCUGUUCAUGAAAGUGAAAUUGGUUGGUGCGAAAAGACUUAAAGGCAGAUGUGGAAUAUGAAGGCCAUCAUCACAAAGUCACUUGAAAGGUGAUGGAAAAAACAGAUAUUCCUGAGGAUCAACUGUCUCAUGCUAUAUACAUAUCAAUAGCUAAUUAUCUGAAUCGUUAUCCUACAGUGAUGAUUUGUUUCCAUUGACAGUGAAGAGAGACUCAGAUGAUGAGACCUGAUAUUACAGAAUCAGAGUGGUUUGUGUUGGAAGGUUUCAACCUCCCUGCCAUAUGCAGGGACACCUUCCACUCAGCCACGUUGCCCAAAGUCCCAUCCAAACUGGCCUUGAACAUUUCCAGGGACAGAAUAUCAACUGUUUCUCUGGGCAACCUGCUUGAGUGCCUCAUCACCCUCAUCGUGAAGAAUUUCUUUCUUAUAUCUAAUCUAAACCUUUUUUAGAUUAAAAUUGUUGUGCCUUGUCUUAUCACUACACUCCCUGAUAAAGAGUCCCUCUUCAGUGUUCUCGUAUGCCCUGCUUAAAUACUCGAAGGUCUCUAUAAGGUGUUCUCAGAGUCUUCUCUUAUCCAGGCUAAAUAACCCCAACUCUCUCAGCCUGUCUUUAUCAGAAAGGUGCUCCAACCCUCUGACCAUCUUUUCAGCCCUCCUUUGGAUAUGCUAUAAAAAGUCUAUGUUUUUCUUAUACAUUGAUCACCAGAGCUGAACACAGUAGUCCAGGUGGGGUCUGUUACACUUUUACAUGAUAUAUGUCUAACAACGUGCUACAUAAGACUCACAACACAUCACCCCAUUGUAACAAGACCAAUACCAAAUAUAAAAUUGUUUAUAAAUUUAUGGUUGCAACACUUUCUAUUUAGGUGCCUCCAGAGACAAAAAGGCUUUCUGCUAUCAUCUACUGAUGGAGGUUUUCUUUAGCUCAAACAAUGGAAUGAACUUGUUAGGAAGGUCCAUUGUGAAAAACUUAUUUAAAAGUAAAUUUCUUUUUUUUUUUUUUUUUUUUUCC